This 393-nucleotide ribosomal RNA is filed under the name uncultured cyanobacterium. Its description in RNAcentral is "bacterial SSU rRNA". It matches the Rfam family "Bacterial small subunit ribosomal RNA", at positions 356 to 765 of the family's 1533-position model. The record is from RNAcentral. Lineage: Bacteria; Bacillati; Cyanobacteriota.
GGGGAAUUUUCCGCAAUGGGCGAAAGCCUGACGGAGCAAUACCGCGUGAGGGAGGAAGGCUCUUGGGUCGUAAACCUCUUUUCUCAAGGAAGAAAGAUGACGGUACUUGAGGAAUAAGCAUCGGCUAACUCCGUGCCAGCAGCCGCGGUAAUACGGAGGAUGCAAGCGUUAUCCGGAAUGAUUGGGCGUAAAGGGUCCGCAGGUGGAACUGAAAGUCUGCUGUUAAAGAAUUUGGCUCAACCAGAUAAAAGCAGUGGAAACUACAGAACUAGAGUAUGGUAGGGGUAGAAGGAAUUCCUAGUGUAGCGGCGAAAUGCGUAGAUAUUAGGAAGAACACCGGUGGCGAAAGCGUUCUACUAGACCAAGACUGACACUGAGGGACGAAAGCUAGGG